GUAGGGGGCAAGCGUUAUCCGGAUUUACUGGGUGUAAAGGGAGCGUAGACGGCAAGGCAAGUCUGAUGUGAAAACCCAGGGCUUAACCCUGGGACUGCAUUGGAAACUGUCUGGCUCGAGUGCCGGAGAGGUAAGCGGAAUUCCUAGUGUAGCGGUGAAAUGCGUAGAUAUUAGGAAGAACACCAGUGGCGAAGGCGGCUCACUGGACGGUAACUGACGUUGAGGCUCGAAAGCGUGGGGAGCAAACAGGAUUAGAUACCCUGGUAGUCCACGCCGUAAACGAUGACUACUAGGUGUCGGGUGGCAAAGCCAUUCGGUGCCGCAGCCAACGCAAUAAGUAGUCCACCUGGGGAGU
Molecule: ribosomal RNA, 355 nt
Filed under: uncultured bacterium
Lineage: Bacteria
Description: bacterial SSU rRNA
Rfam family: Bacterial small subunit ribosomal RNA
Source: RNAcentral